UCCCGUGUGGCUCAGUUGGUAGAGCAUGGUGCUUGCAAUACCAAGGUUCGAUUCCCACGGGGA
This 63-nucleotide transfer RNA is filed under the name Salmo salar (Atlantic salmon). It matches the Rfam family "tRNA". Rfam says of the family: Transfer RNA (tRNA) molecules are approximately 80 nucleotides in length. Their secondary structure includes four short double-helical elements and three loops (D, anti-codon, and T loops). The record is from Rfam by way of RNAcentral. Lineage: Eukaryota; Metazoa; Chordata; Actinopteri; Salmoniformes; Salmonidae.